Panicum hallii is the source of this 2097-nucleotide long non-coding RNA. RefSeq lists it as uncharacterized. The record is from RefSeq and is a predicted model, not a curated record. The transcript has 9 exons. NCBI's taxonomy places the organism in Eukaryota, Viridiplantae, Streptophyta, Magnoliopsida, Poales, Poaceae.
GUACAUACAGUGGGCUCCCCUUCUCUCUCUUUUCCCUCUCGUCCCUUUGCCCCGGCUUCGUUCACCGUCAGCUUUCUCCUCUCUUCCCCUUGGCUGAGUCCAUUGUAGAGUCAUGCCGAAGCUUCCGCUCGAAUCCACCAUUAGCUCCUGAAUGUUGAGGUCAGAUCUGCGGUUCAACCACGGCAAGGAAACAGCAUUGACCUAACAGGGGUCGAUUAGUUACAAGAAUGUUGGAUUCAAAGCGUUCCAUAGGAGGAGGAUAGAUCACUUCCUUUCCGCAGGCAUUUAGGCUAAAGAUCCUUCAUUUCCAUCAACUUACUCUCUGACCAACCGGAUGGGGAAUGGUAGUACUGCACAUCCCUAUCCAGAAGAAAUCUCUGACAAAAGUCCUAGAUUCAAUGUUCCUGACCGUAUGCAGAUAGUCGAGUUUCUAGAAUGGAGAGCUAGGUUCCUUUCAAACAACAGAUUUUGAUUCUCCAUCAGUGGAUCUUCCUAGCUCAAAUGAUUUAGGCUCUAAAAGUCUUCGGCAUUUGAUGCUUGAACCUCCAACAGUUACUGAAAUCAUUCGAUCCAAGAUUAAACAAUGUCAGUUUUGUUACAUUAGAAGAAGGAGAGUGCGGCCGGUUGCAAAUAAUGCCUCGUUUGUUAGUUUGGAUAUCAAUGAAGAGUCUGUAGAGCCGUCUCCAUCUUAUCUAUCAGUUCAGCAAGAGAAGGAAGCUCCCAAUUAUGCAGAGAUUGACGAGUCAGGUUAUGUUAGCCCAGGCUCAUCUAUAUAUGAGGUUGGUUCUGAUGAUGAUAAUUACACGACUUCAACGAGAACUUCAAUGUGUUUGGGCUUGAUAAUACUAUAGUACCAUCUUCUGGAUUUAGCAACCGUUCACAGACAAAGUGUUUGUUUCCAAGUGAAACUGGAACAACAAAUAUUUUGGCUAAUCAAGAAAUAAUCCCAGAUUCUCAGGAACAAUCAUCUGAGCUUGAAUUGGGAUCAGAACCACCUGAAGUACAGCCAAACUGUAGCUACAUUGAAGCAGCUCAAGUUGUUAUAGGAAAUCAAUGCUGCAGUGAGGCUGGUAAAGAGAUUCCAGCUGAAGGAGAAACAGAACAAUGCGAAUGCCUUAAUGGGAAUCCAUUCUUGCAUGUUAUGACAAAGCUAAAUGAAGGCAAUGCUGAUUCAACACCAUGGAAGAAGAGUGUUGGGUAAUUCAGCUGCAGGGUGCCCAAAGGCAUGGGACCAAUUGCAAUUGCUUUGAGGAGGUAACUAAUGCCCUGUGUAUUAGUUUGGAUGUCAAUGAAGAGUCUGUUGGGCUUUUUCCUUCUUAUCAAACAGUGGAGCAAGAGAAAACACAACAAGCUCAUCAUUAUGCAGAAAUUGACGAGUAAGGAUAUUUUAGCUCAGACUCAUCUAUGUAUGAGGUUCUGAUGACUAGAAUUACAAUGACUUCAACGAGAACUUCAAUGAGUUUGGGCUUGAUACUACUAUACUACCAUCUUCUGACUUUAGCAACAAAUUAUAUUUUUGAGCCAAUUCUUGGUAUAACUUUUGACUCAGAGAAUGAAGGUUAUGAAUUCUACAAUAUGUACUCUUGGGAAGUUGGUUUUGGUAUUAAAAAGGCUACAAGAGUGACAAACAAGAAAGGGUUCCAUACGAUGCGUGACAUGAGUUGUCUUUGUUCUGGCUCGGAAGAACGAUCUAAGUACAAAACUAAGAAGACCGGAUGCAAGGCUAUGAUUCAGCUACUACGAUCCAACAAUGAUGGCUGGUAUAUCCCACGUAGUUGCACACAACUCUUAAGGCUACUAUUAUACUACUGAGAGUGAGGCACCAGUACACAGUGGCUCGGAAAUGGAAGGAAACAGCAACUCUUAUGGAGCUUAUGGGUCUUGUGCUGGCAUGAGGGAUUCGGAAUUGUUGAGAAUUAAGGCACCAUCCUAAAUGACUUAAGUUUCAUCUUAGGCUGUUGUGUUGUAUCUUUUGCUUGCAGCUUUAAACAUUGAAAGCUUCAGUGUUAUCUUGAAACUGGAUAUUGGGAUUUGGGAUUGUAUCGUGAGGUCAUUAUUACUAUUAUUUAGUUGAUGGUAUAUUCCAUUUACCUCUUA